Molecule: long non-coding RNA, 298 nt
Filed under: Trifolium pratense (red clover)
Lineage: Eukaryota; Viridiplantae; Streptophyta; Magnoliopsida; Fabales; Fabaceae
Description: long non-coding RNA (TPRA_LNC010922)
Source: RNAcentral
AUCAAAAUCAUGGCAAUUACUUGAGUUUUAAGUAACUUUCUCAAACUUUCCAAAAAUGAUCCAAAUACAUACAUAUUCAUCAUGGAAUCAAACUAGUGAUUAACACAUACAAAGUGAUGAUGAAAAACAUCAUACUCACAUACAAAAGCUUAAUCAAAGUCUAAAAGAAAUUGAGUGGGAGAGUUCGGGAACGGAGACAUAGACAAUCUCCCCCCUCCUUGUCACUCAAGAAUCAUGAGUUCUAAUCUCUUACCUUAAGCAAAGAUGAUGAUCCAAGCCUUCUCUUGCUCAAUCUUUC